This 443-nucleotide ribosomal RNA is filed under the name uncultured bacterium. RNAcentral describes it as "partial 16S ribosomal RNA". It matches the Rfam family "Bacterial small subunit ribosomal RNA", at positions 338 to 795 of the family's 1533-position model. The record is from RNAcentral.
CCUACGGGAGGCUGCAGUGGGGAAUAUUGGGCAAUGGGCGCAAGCCUGACCCAGCAACGCCGCGUGAAGGAAGAAUGCUUUCGGGUUGUAAACUUCUUUUCUUAGGGACGUAGAAAGUUACGGUACCUGAGUUAUGAGCCACGGCUAACUACGUGCCAGAAGCCGCGUUAAUACGUAGGUGGCAAGCGUUAUGCGGAUUUACGGGGUUUAAAGGGCGUGUAGGCGGGCAAGUAAGUCAGAUGUGAAAACCAUGGGCUCAACCGGUAGUCUGCAUUUGAAAAUGGUUUUCUUGAGUACUGUAGAGGCAGACGGAAUUCCUAGUGUAGCGGUGAAAUGCGUAGAUAUUAGGAGGAACACCGAUGGCGAAGGCAGCCUGCUGGACAGCAACUGACGCUGAGGCGCGAAAGCGUGGGGAGCAAACAGGAUUAGAUACCCCUGUAGUC